UGGGGAAUUUUGGACAAUGGGCGCAAGCCUGAUCCAGCCAUGCCGCGUGCAGGAUGAAGGCCUUCGGGUUGUAAACUGCUUUUGUACGGAACGAAAAGGUUUGGCCUAAUACGCUGGACUCAUGACGGUACCGUAAGAAUAAGCACCGGCUAACUACGUGCCAGCAGCCGCGGUAAUACGUAGGGUGCGAGCGUUAAUCGGAAUUACUGGGCGUAAAGCGUGCGCAGGCGGUUAUGUAAGACAGAUGUGAAAUCCCCGGGCUCAAGCCUGGGAACUGGCAUUAGUGACUGCAUAGCUGGAGUACGGCAGAGGGGGGAUGGAAA
This 323-nucleotide ribosomal RNA is filed under the name uncultured Curvibacter sp. Its description in RNAcentral is "bacterial SSU rRNA". It matches the Rfam family "Bacterial small subunit ribosomal RNA", at positions 355 to 667 of the family's 1533-position model. Lineage: Bacteria; Pseudomonadati; Pseudomonadota; Betaproteobacteria; Burkholderiales; Comamonadaceae. The record is from RNAcentral.